GACGAACGCUGGCGGCGUGCUUAACACAUGCAAGUCGAACGCUGAAGCUUUGCGCUUGUAGUGGGUGCGAGUGUCGCGCAGGUGUGUGAAAUACGUGUGUACCCCGCCCUACUCUCUGAGAACUGCCUGAGACACUGGGUCUAACACUGUAUACGACCUGUCUCCACGGGGUGGCGUGUGGAAUGGGUUUUGCUGGUUUUGGAUGCGCGCACGGCCUAUCAGCUUGUUGGUGGGGUAGUGGCUCACCAAGGCGACGACGGGUAGCCGGCCUGAGAGGGUGACCGGCCACACUGGGACUGAGACACGGCCCAGACUCCUACGGGAGGCAGCAGUGGGGAAUAUUGCACAAUGGGCGAAAGCCUGAUGCAGCGACGCCGCGUGAGGGAUGACGGCCUUCGGGUUGUAAACCGCUUUCAGCACGGAAGAAGCGAGAGUGACGGUAAGGGCUAAAGAAGCGCCGGCUAACUACGUG
RNAcentral lists this ribosomal RNA (472 nucleotides) under uncultured bacterium. Its description in RNAcentral is "partial 16S ribosomal RNA". It matches the Rfam family "Bacterial small subunit ribosomal RNA", at positions 28 to 507 of the family's 1533-position model. The record is from RNAcentral.